CGGCGUGCCUAAUACAUAGCAAGUCGAGCGAGAAAUCUUCUAGACGAUCUCGGAUGAGUCAGGAAGAUGGAAGCGGCGGACGGGUGAGUAACGCGUAGGCAACCUGCCCUCAGCAGAGGGAUAGCCAUUGGAAACGAUGAUUAAAACCUCAUAAUGCUGCAGUAACACAUGUUACAGCAGCCAAAGAUUUAUCGGCUGGGGAUGGGCCUGCGUCUGAUUAACUGGUUGGUGAGGUAACGGCUCACCCAAGGUAACGAUCAGUAGCCGACCUGAGAGGGUGAUCGGCCACAUUGGAACUGAGACACGGUCCAAACUUCUACGGAAGGCAGCAGUAAGGAAUCUUGCACAAUGGGGGAAACCCUGAUGCAGCAACGCCGCGUGAACGAUGAAGGCCUUAGGGUUGUAAAGUUCUGAUCUGUGGGAAGAAGAAAGUGACGGUACCACAGGAGAAAGCCCCGGCUAAAUACGUGCCAGCAGCCGC
This 481-nucleotide ribosomal RNA is filed under the name uncultured bacterium. Its description in RNAcentral is "bacterial SSU rRNA". It matches the Rfam family "Bacterial small subunit ribosomal RNA", at positions 40 to 518 of the family's 1533-position model. The record is from RNAcentral.